GACGAACGCUGGCGGCGUGCCUAAUACAUGCAAGUCGAGCGGGGUUAUGUUAGAAGCUUGCUUCUAACAUCAACCUAGCGGCGGACGGGUGAGUAACACGUAGGCAACCUGCCCAUGAGACUGGGAUAACUACCGGAAACGUGUAGCUAAUACCGGAUACAUCCUUUCCCUGCAUGGGGAGAGGAGGAAAGACGGAGCAAUCUGUCACUGAUUGGAUGGGCCUGCGGCGCAUUAGCUAGUUGGUGGGGUCAAGGCCUACCAAGGCGACGAUGCGUAGCCGACCGUGAGAGGGUGAUCGGCCACACUGGGACUGAGACACGGCCCAGACUCCUACGGGAGGCAGCAGUAGGGAAUUCUUCCGCAAUGGGCGAAAGCCUGACGGAGCAACGCCGCGUGAGUGAUGAAGGUUUUCGGAUCGUAAAGCUCCUGUUGCCAGGGAAGAACGUCUUGUAGAGUAACUGCUACAAGAGUGACGGUACCUGAGAAGAAAGCCCCGAGCUAACUACGUGCCAGCAGCCGCGGUAAUACGUAGGGGGCAAGCGUUGUCCGGAAUUAUUGGGCGUAAAGUCGCGCGCAGGCGGCUCUUUAAGUCUGGUGUUUAAUCCCGAGGCUCAACUUCGGGUCGCACUGGAAACUGGGGGAGCUUGAGUGCAGAAGAGGAGAGUGGAAUUCCACGUGUAGCGGUGAAAUGCGUAGAUAUGUGGAGGAACCACCAGUGGCGAAGGCGACUCUCUGGGCUGUAACUGACGCUGAGGCGCGAAAGCGUGGGGAGCAAACAGGUAUUAGAUACCCUGGUAGUCCACGCCGUAAACGAUGAAUGCUAGGUGUUAGGGGUUUCGAUACCCUUGGUGGCCGAAGUUAACACAUUAAGCAUUCCGCCUGGGGAGUACGGUCGCAAGACUGAAACUCAAAGGAAUUGACGGGGGACCCGCACAAGCAGUGGAGUAUGUGGUUUAAUUCGAAGCAACGCGAAGAACCUUACCAGGUCUUGACCAUCCCCCUGACCGGUCUAGAGAUAGACCUUUCCUUCGGGACAGGGGAGACAGGUGGUGCAUGGUUGUCGUUCAGCUCGUGUCGUGAGAUGUUGGGUUAAGUCCCGCAACGAGCGCAACCCUUAUGCUUAGUUGCCAGCAGGGUCAAGCUGGGCACUCUAAGCAGACUGCCGGUGACAAACCGGAGGAAGGUGGGGAUGACGUCAAAUCAUCAGUGCCCCUUAUGACCUGGGCUACACACGUACUACAAUGGCCGGUACAACGGGAAGCGAAAGAGCGAUCUGGGAGCGAAUCCUAGAAAAGCCGGUCUCAGUUCGGAUUGCAGGCUGCAACUCGCCUGCAUGAAGUCGGAAUUGCCUAGUAAUCGCGGAUCAGCAUGCCGCGGUGAAUACGUUCCCGGGUCUUGUACACACCGCCCGUCACACCAUCGAGAGUUUACAACACCCGAAGUCGGUGGGGUAACCCGCAAGGGAGCCAGCCGCCGAAGGUGGGGUAGAUGGAUUGGGGUGAAGUCGUAACAAGGUAGCCGUAUCGGAAGGUGC
RNAcentral lists this ribosomal RNA (1534 nucleotides) under Paenibacillus polymyxa. Its description in RNAcentral is "bacterial SSU rRNA". It matches the Rfam family "Bacterial small subunit ribosomal RNA". Lineage: Bacteria; Bacillati; Bacillota; Bacilli; Caryophanales; Paenibacillaceae. The record is from RNAcentral. RNAcentral also lists the same sequence under 1 other name.